UGGGGAAUUUUGCACAAUGGGGGAAACCCUGAUGCAGCGACGCCGCGUGAUUUAGAAGGCCUUCGGGUUGUAAAAAUCUUUUCUAUGGGAAGAAAAUGACAGUACCAUAGGAAUAAGGACCGGCUAAUUACGUGCCAGCAGCCGCGGUAAUACGUAAGGUCCGAGCGUUGUCCGGAAUCAUUGGGCGUAAAGGGUACGUAGGCGGGUAAGCAAGAUAGAAGUGAAAUCCUAUAGCUCAACUAUAGUAAGCUUUUAAAACUGCUCAUCUUGAGGUAUGGAAGGGAAAGUGGAAUUCCUAGUGUAGCGGUGAAAUGCGCAGAUAUUAGGAGGUAUACCGGUGGCGAAGGCGACUUUCUGGCCAUAACCUGACGCUGAGGUACGAAAGCGUGGGUAGCAAACAGG
Molecule: ribosomal RNA, 402 nt
Filed under: bacterium
Lineage: Bacteria
Description: partial 16S ribosomal RNA
Rfam family: Bacterial small subunit ribosomal RNA
Source: RNAcentral